Molecule: transfer RNA, 72 nt
Filed under: Microlunatus parietis
Lineage: Bacteria; Bacillati; Actinomycetota; Actinomycetes; Propionibacteriales; Propionibacteriaceae
Rfam family: tRNA
About the family: Transfer RNA (tRNA) molecules are approximately 80 nucleotides in length.
Source: Rfam by way of RNAcentral
GCCGCGUUAGCUCAGUGGUAGAGCGUCGAUCUUGUAAAUCGAAAGUCGAGAGUUCAAUUCUCUCACGCGGCU